RNA transcript from Populus euphratica (Euphrates poplar), 1916 nucleotides. It is a transcript of the gene named mis18-binding protein 1-like, with no coding region annotated. The transcript is spliced from 6 exons. The record is from RefSeq and is a predicted model, not a curated record. NCBI's taxonomy places the organism in Eukaryota, Viridiplantae, Streptophyta, Magnoliopsida, Malpighiales, Salicaceae.
CCCAAUUCGAUUUUAUUAAUGGCUCCUAAUUCUCUUUCUUCUUUCUCAACGGUCACUUCGCUUCUCUCUUAUUUCUUCACCUUCAUCCCAUGUUCCAGUAUCAAGAUGACUACCGAAGCCGCCACCUCAUCUUUCCAGAAAACAGUGUUGUUACAUGACUGGUGGUUGAUCAAAGCCGAGCAGGAGUUCCAAGGGAAGAAAAUUGCUGUUGCCGGCUUAACUUCUCCUGAGAAAAAACCUGUUCGUGUGUUUCACUCAGCAGCAAUUACCAAAAGAUACGAUGUUUUCACUCUUCAGACAGCUGAUGGCGUCAAUGUUCUUCUACAAGGUUAUAUUAACAGGACACUCACUGUUGAAAAUGGAUUUUCUUCUCAGGUCUUUCGGCAUUUCUGUUUCGGCUUUCCUCCUGAUUGGGAAGAAUGUGGAACCAAGUUUCUGAAUAGUAACUGUGAAAGCGCGGCAGAGCCUCCGGUAUCUCAAAAUGAAUGCCGGCCUAUUUUCUUAUCAUUGCCAGUAGAUGAUGGUGUUAAUAAUUUGAAGAAUGAUGACUCAAAAGAAUCUUUCACCACUAUCGAGAUGUCGUGUAAAUGAUGUAAGUUGGGUGAAAGAUAGUGUGGUGGUACCAGCAAAGCCUUCUGGUCACCAUGUGGAUGUGGCACUAUCUUCUGAAAAGAUAGGCAGCAAGAAAAGCAAAACCAGGUCCUUUGGAAAGUUGAUGGCUAAAAGGUCAAGUAGUUUAGAAAGAAUCAGCAUCAAGAAUGAUGCAUCGGGGGAAUGCUCAGCACUCACGGAUUAUAAUGUGGGCAAUAUCACUAAAUCAAACUUUGACCAGACACUGUCUGUUAGAACUUCAGGUGUGGUACUGGCUGUAUCCUUAGAAGUGAUCUCGAGUUUAAAGAAAAAGAAAAGGGAAAAUGAGGGAAACAAGGAUGGACUGAAGAGUGGAAGUGAUUUCUCAAUGCCAUCUUUGCCUCAAGACCCUCAGGUUAUGCUAAGAUGCAUUGAAAAUAAUACUACACAAGGGCCGUUUCUUUCUAUAUCUCCAACUCGGGGAGAUUCUGAUAUUUUAAAUCAAUCUGAUAAAUGUCUCGUGGAAAACUCUGUGUUUUCCAGCAUGCGGUCAGGUGCGGAAGCAAAUAUCAUUAGUCCAUCCAUGGAAGAAACGGAGACAUUGGAUGCUAAUCUCAUUGGUUCUGGACAUAGGAAAAGCACUGCAUCUGUGACAAAUCUGAUAAACAUACCGAUACAGAAAUCGGUCUCUGGACAUUCAGUGAGGUACAAAGCCAAAAGGUUGAAAUCAGUUGAAGGUAAACCGAAGAGAAAUUCAGGCACAACUCUUGAUAUAGCAGAGGCAAUGUUGAGAGCUUCAAGAAAGAUGAAUACACUGUCAGGAAAUUCAAAAAGUAAAGAGUAGAAAGAAACAAUAGCUGUUGAGAAAGGAGGUUUGUCCAUGAAGCAAGCUAGAAGGAAAGUUAUUUUUGAUGCCGAUGGGUUGAAUCUAAGACUCAGAAGAGCAAAAGAGAGUAAAUAAAACCACAGUUUCCUUUAUCUUGGGGCAAUCAAUAAUCACCAUGGAGCAAAGCCAUUAGUUUGGGAGGGGAGGAAUGGAGAGCUUAUGGAAAGAUGGUGAUGGGAAACAAAGGGCUAAAGGAGGUAUGAAGAUUAGUUAGAAGAGUAAGGCAGAUGACAGAAGGCACAGCUUUUGGUACGGUGCAAUUGCUGGUUGCUUUCCAUGCUACUUCAAGCAUAAAUUUUUGAAGAUUAGUUAGUGAUCUCUUAUUCUCCACUCUUUUUUGUUUUUCAAAGCUUGAGCUUCUACAUAUAACAUCAUUAUCAUAUCUGAAUAGCUGAAAUAAUCUUUCAUUCAAAUUAAGAAUUACUUUUGAUCAUAGUUGUCCAGGUCUGAUUUGAUUUAG